Molecule: ribosomal RNA, 448 nt
Filed under: uncultured Anaerovorax sp.
Lineage: Bacteria; Bacillati; Bacillota; Clostridia; Peptostreptococcales; Anaerovoracaceae
Description: bacterial SSU rRNA
Rfam family: Bacterial small subunit ribosomal RNA
Source: RNAcentral
UAGCCUACGGGCGGCAGCAGUGGGGAAUAUUGCACAAUGGGCGAAAGCCUGAUGCAGCAACGCCGCGUGAGCGAAGAAGGCCUUUGGGUCGUAAAGCUCUGUCGGAAGGGAAGAAAGAAAUGACGGUACCUUCUGAGGAAGCCCCGGCUAACUACGUGCCAGCAGCCGCGGUAAUACGUAGGGGGCAAGCGUUAUCCGGAAUUAUUGGGCGUAAAGAGUGCGUAGGUGGUCUUGUAAGCGUGGGGUGAAAGGCAGUGGCUUAACCAUUGUAAGCCCUGCGAACUGUGAGACUUGAGUGCAGGAGAGGAAAGCGGAAUUCCUAGUGUAGCGGUGAAAUGCGUAGAUAUUAGGAGGAACACCAGUGGCGAAGGCGGCUUUCUGGACUGUAACUGACACUGAGGCACGAAAGCGUGGGGAGCAAACAGGAUUAGAUACCCCUGUAGUCUAU